UACGGGGGGGGUAAGCGUUGUUCGGAAUUACUGGGCGUAAAGGGCUCGUAGGCGGCCAACUAAGUCAGACGUGAAAUCCCUCAGCUUAACUGGGGAACUGCGUCUGAUACUGGAUGGCUUGGAUUCGGGAGAGGAAUGCGGAAUUCCCGGUGUAGCGGUGAAAUGUGUAGAGAUCGGGAGGAACACCGGUGGCGAAGGCGGGUCUCUGGGCAAUUCCUGACGCUGAGGCGCGAAAGCGUGGGGAGCAAACGGG
RNAcentral lists this ribosomal RNA (253 nucleotides) under uncultured bacterium. RNAcentral describes it as "partial 16S ribosomal RNA". It matches the Rfam family "Bacterial small subunit ribosomal RNA", at positions 524 to 776 of the family's 1533-position model. The record is from RNAcentral.